RNAcentral lists this ribosomal RNA (506 nucleotides) under uncultured bacterium. RNAcentral's name for it is "partial 16S ribosomal RNA". It matches the Rfam family "Bacterial small subunit ribosomal RNA", at positions 29 to 523 of the family's 1533-position model. The record is from RNAcentral.
AGUGAACGCUGGUGGUAGGCCUAACACAUGCAAGUCGAACGGCAGCACAGGAGAGCUUGCUCUCUGGGUGGCGAGUGGCGGACGGGUGAGGAAUACAUCGGAAUCUACUCUGUCGUGGGGGAUAACGUAGGGAAACUUACGCUAAUACCGCAUACGACCUACGGGUGAAAGCAGGGGACCUUCGGGCCUUGCGCGAUUGAAUGAGCCGAUGUCGGAUUAGCUAGUUGGCGGGGUAAAGGCCCACCAAGGCGACGAUCCGUAGCUGGUCUGAGAGGAUGAUCAGCCACACUGGAACUGAGACACGGUCCAGACUCCUACGGGAGGCAGCAGUGGGGAAUAUUGGACAAUGGGCGCAAGCCUGAUCCAGCCAUACCGCGUGGGUGAAGAAGGCCUUCGGGUUGUAAAGCCCUUUUGUUGGGAAAGAAAUCCAGCUGGUUGAUACCCGGUUGGGAUGACGGUACCCAAAGAAUAAGCACCGGCUAACUUCGUGCCAGCAGCCGCCGUAA